GUGAAUCAUCGAAUCUUUGAACGCAAAUUGCACUCUCCGGUUUUCUGGGAGAGAAUGCUUGUUUGAGGGUCUGUUUAACAAAUAAUCCAAGUUGCUGCUGUAUUUUUCGCUGUGGCGCUUCGGCAAUGGGUCAUCUUUUUUUACCUUUCGGUUGUAAGCGGCUUAAAAUUUUUUUACGAUUUCUACGAACGUGUUUAAGAAUUUCUUAUACGUUCAUUAUAUCAUAAUCAUAUUAGAAGUGACAGCCGUGUCGGGUUCACUUAUAUAAUAUAAUAUUCA
RNAcentral lists this unclassified non-coding RNA (279 nucleotides) under Glomus sp. Its description in RNAcentral is "partial contains 5.8S ribosomal RNA and internal transcribed spacer 2". The stretch from base 1 to 72 matches the Rfam family "5.8S ribosomal RNA", at positions 84 to 154 of the family's 154-position model. The record is from RNAcentral. Lineage: Eukaryota; Fungi; Glomeromycota; Glomeromycetes; Glomerales; Glomeraceae.